This 425-nucleotide long non-coding RNA is filed under the name Bos taurus (domestic cattle). RNAcentral describes it as "long non-coding RNA NONBTAT009786". The record is from RNAcentral. Lineage: Eukaryota; Metazoa; Chordata; Mammalia; Artiodactyla; Bovidae.
ACCUAAUCUUAGAUUUUAUUGUUAAACAUUGUGGUAAAUUAGGGUUCAGAGUUAACAUGUUCUAUCAGUUGUAGGAAGGAGGUAAUAGCUAAGACUUUCUUAGAAUAUAAGCCAGGCAGAGUUCUAAGUUAUUUAUUUACAUAAGCUCAAUCUGAUUUCCCUGAAGCCCAGGUUUUAGGUCCAGGGUUAAGGUAUGAAAAAACCUUGAAUGUUGAACAAAAGAAUUCUUCCUACAGACACUGGGCAAAAAGAAAGUUCUUGAGCCAAGAGUUAUAUCUGCAAAACAUAUGGAAGAUUAUUUUAGUUGCAGGAUAUAGAAUGGAAUGAACAUGGGUAGGGGAAACUACAUGGAAACUAGACUUUAAAAGCAAAGCAACUAAGACUAACUAGGUAUGUACUGAAAGAAAGGCAAUAGAAUUGAAGAA